RNAcentral lists this ribosomal RNA (301 nucleotides) under uncultured bacterium. RNAcentral describes it as "partial 16S ribosomal RNA". It matches the Rfam family "Bacterial small subunit ribosomal RNA", at positions 509 to 807 of the family's 1533-position model. The record is from RNAcentral.
CAGCAGCCGCGGGAAUACGUAGGGUGCAAGCGUUAAUCGGAAUUACUGGGCGUAAAGCGUGCGCAGGCGGUUCUAUAAGACAGAUGUGAAAUCCCCGGGCUCAACCUGGGAACUGCAUUUGUGACUGUAGAGCUGGAGUACGGCAGAGGGGGAUGGAAUUCCGCGUGUAGCAGUGAAAUGCGUAGAGAUGUGGAGGAAUACCGAUGGCGAAGGUAGCCCCCUGGGCCAAUACUGACGCUCAUGCACGAAAGCGUGGGGAGCAAACAGGAUUAGAUACCCCAGUAGUCCCUGUCUCUUAUAC